Molecule: long non-coding RNA, 203 nt
Filed under: Gossypium barbadense (sea-island cotton)
Lineage: Eukaryota; Viridiplantae; Streptophyta; Magnoliopsida; Malvales; Malvaceae
Description: long non-coding RNA (GBAR_LNC017256)
Source: RNAcentral
UCAAAUUUUGGGCUUCUCCGGAGUUUUAUCAACCAAUGCACCUCCACUCGCUGCAUCAAUCAUUCCUCGAUCUUGUGGGGCCAACCUUUCAUAAAAAUAUUACACUAAGAGCUGCUCACUAAUCUGAUGCUGUGGACAACUCACACAUAGCCGUUUAAACCUUUCCCAGUACUCGUAUAGUGACUCACCUACCAGCUUCUUAA